This 492-nucleotide ribosomal RNA is filed under the name uncultured bacterium. Its description in RNAcentral is "partial 16S ribosomal RNA". It matches the Rfam family "Bacterial small subunit ribosomal RNA", at positions 29 to 507 of the family's 1533-position model. The record is from RNAcentral.
AGUGAACGCUGGUGGUAGGCCUAACACAUGCAAGUCGAACGGCAGCACAGUAAGAGCUUGCUCUUACGGGUGGCGAGUGGCGGACGGGUGAGGAAUACAUCGGAAUCUACUUUUUCGUGGGGGAUAACGUAGGGAAACUUACGCUAAUACCGCAUACGACCUACGGGUGAAAGCAGGGGAUCUUCGGACCUUGCGCGAUUGAAUGAGCCGAUGUCGGAUUAGCUAGUUGGCGGGGUAAAGGCCCACCAAGGCGACGAUCCGUAGCUGGUCUGAGAGGAUGAUCAGCCACACUGGAACUGAUACACGGUCCAGACUCCUACGGGAGGCAGCAGUGGGGAAUAUUAGACAAUGGGCGCAAGCCUGAUCCAGCGAUACCGCGUGGGUGAAGAAGGCCUUCGGGUUGUAAAGCCCUUUUGUUGGGAAAGAAAAGCAGCAGGUUAAUACCCCGCUGUUCUGACGGUACCCAAAGAAUAAGCACGGGCUAGCUUCGUG